This is a long non-coding RNA of Homo sapiens (human), 1188 nucleotides long. Lineage: Eukaryota; Metazoa; Chordata; Mammalia; Primates; Hominidae. The record is from Ensembl.
AGUGGUGCAAUCUUGGCUCACCGCAACCUCUGCCUCCUGGGUUCAAGCAAUUCUUCUGCCUCAGCCACCCGAAUAGUAGCUGAGACUACAGGUGCAUGCCAUCAUGCCUCGCUAAUUUUCGUAUUUUUAGUAGAGACGGAGUUUCACCAUGUUGGCCGGGCUACUCUCAAACAUCUGACCUCAAGUGAUCCACCCACCUCGGCCUCCAAAAGUGAUGGGAUUACAGGUGUGAGCCACUGCACCCGGCCUGGAACUCUUCCAUGAAGGGGAAGAAAAAGAUAAAACCAAACACAGCCCAGAAAUUCUGGCAUACAAAUCAGAAAAGAACUACUUCUUAGCCACCUGUGCCAGACAGAGUCUCACUCUGUUGCCCAGGCUGAAGUGCAAUGGUUUGAUCUCGGCUGACCACAACCCCCAUCUCCUGGAUUCAAGCAAUUCUCCUGCCUCAGCCUCCCGAGUAGCUGGGAUUAGAGGCAUGUGCCACCACGCCCGGCUAAUUUUAUAUUUUUAGUAGAGACGGGGUUUCUCCAUGUUGGUCAGGCUGGUCUCGAACUCCCAACCUCAGGUGAUCUGCCUGCCUCGGCCUCCCAAAGUGCUGAGAUUACAGGUGUGAGCCACUGCACCCAGCCUCCAUCUUGCUUCUAACCUUUAAGUUGCCCUUCUUCAUUCCUGGGCAAAGGCCGAACUAACCUUGGGAAGAAAUUUAGUUUAUGCUUCAACUGCGAAACAAAAUUGGUAAUAGUCCUUUCCGAAAAGACCCCCUUCUUGUCUUGGGACCAGUCUGCCUUUGCAGGACUAACAAAUUAGCUACAAGAUUAGAAAUUAUGGUUAAGGGGUCAUGCAGCCUCUGGCUGCAAGAGUCUGAGCCUCCCCAAAUUGCUCCUGGGGAUAACAUCACUGUUGUAAAACCUAAGUUCAGUGCUUGAGAUAUUUUGCAGAUCCUGCACUUGAUGGAUCAGCUGACACCACCCAGACCAUAAUCUGGCUCAACCAGUUCUGCAACUCCACCCAGGAACAGAAGACAGCAAGAAAAACUCACUUCGACCCCCUAUGAUUCCAUUUCCAACCUGACCAAUCAGUGCUCCCCACUUUCCAAGCCCCUACCCACCAAAUUAUCUUUAAAAACUCUGAUCCCUGAAUGCUUGGGAGACUGAUUUGAGUAAUAAUAAAACUCUGGUUUCCCAUACA